UACGGAGGGUGCAAGCGUUAAUCGGAAUUACUGGGCGUAAAGCGCGCGUAGGCGGCUAGAUAAGUCGGAUGUGAAAGCCCCGGGCUCAACCUGGGAACUGCAUUCGAUACUGUUUGGCUAGAGUAUGAGAGAGGGAGGUAGAAUUCCACGUGUAGCGGUGAAAUGCGUAGAUAUGUGGAGGAAUACCGGUGGCGAAGGCGGCCUCCUGGCUUAAUACUGACGCUGAGGUGCGAAAGCGUGGGGAGCAAACAGG
This 253-nucleotide ribosomal RNA is filed under the name uncultured bacterium. RNAcentral's name for it is "partial 16S ribosomal RNA". It matches the Rfam family "Bacterial small subunit ribosomal RNA", at positions 524 to 776 of the family's 1533-position model. The record is from RNAcentral.